GUGCCAGCCGCCGCGGUAAUACAGAGGGUGCAAGCGUUAAUCGGAGUGACUGGGCGUAAAGGGCGUGUAGGCGGUUAUGAUAGUCUGUUGUGAAAGCUUAGGGCUUAACCUUAAGAGGCCAAUGGAAACGUCAUAGCUAGAGUGGUGUAGAGGAUAGUGGAAUUUCCGGUGUAGCGGUGAAAUGCGUAGAUAUCGGGAAGAACACCAGUGGCGAAGGCGGCUAUCUGGACACACACUGACGCUGAGGCGCGAAGGCGUGGGUAGCGAACAGGAUUAGAUACCCUGGUAGUCCACGCAGUAAACGAUGACGACUAGCUGUUAUUUAAGUAUAACUUAGGUAGUAGCGCAGCAAACGCGAUAAGUUGUCCGCCUGGGGAGUACGGCCGCAAGGUUAAA
RNAcentral lists this ribosomal RNA (396 nucleotides) under uncultured bacterium. RNAcentral describes it as "bacterial SSU rRNA". It matches the Rfam family "Bacterial small subunit ribosomal RNA", at positions 505 to 898 of the family's 1533-position model. The record is from RNAcentral.